RNAcentral lists this unclassified non-coding RNA (152 nucleotides) under Schizothecium formosanum. Its description in RNAcentral is "partial internal transcribed spacer 2". Lineage: Eukaryota; Fungi; Ascomycota; Sordariomycetes; Sordariales; Schizotheciaceae. RNAcentral also lists the same sequence under 1 other name. The record is from RNAcentral.
CAACCAUCAAGCGCCCGCGCUUGUGUUGGAGCCCUGCGGCCGCCGCAGCCUCCCAAACCCAGUGGCGGGCUCGUCGUCGUACCGAGUGCAGUAAACAUACCACGCUCCGGGCACGCGACGGGUCACCGGCCGUUAAACCCCCCACAUCUCAA